GGCCUUUGUGUUGCCCAUUCGCUUUCGGAAACUAGUGAAUGUGGUGUCAAAAAAGGCACAAAUUAAACUCUUUGCAGCCAUUUUCUGCCCUUGAAUUUCAUUUCUUUGGUGUAGGAGCUGCCGAAGUUACAGUG
This 134-nucleotide small nucleolar RNA is filed under the name Procavia capensis (Cape rock hyrax). Its description in RNAcentral is "Small nucleolar RNA SNORA13 (ENSPCAG00000020057.1)". It matches the Rfam family "Small nucleolar RNA SNORA13". From Rfam's summary of the family: ACA13 is a member of the H/ACA class of snoRNA that guide the sites of modification of uridines to pseudouridines. Lineage: Eukaryota; Metazoa; Chordata; Mammalia; Hyracoidea; Procaviidae. The record is from RNAcentral.